Molecule: long non-coding RNA, 1174 nt
Organism: Lathyrus oleraceus (garden pea)
Lineage: Eukaryota; Viridiplantae; Streptophyta; Magnoliopsida; Fabales; Fabaceae
Exons: 2
Source: RefSeq, a predicted model, not a curated record
AACCAGCUUGGGCCUUAUGAUGGUAGCCCAAGGGCGGAUAGCUGAAGGAAAUGAAGAAUGGAGGAUCAAUUGUUCUCCUUCUCUUUCACGCUUAGCCAAAAACGGAACCAACAAACCAAGUCUCAUACAGAGACCCUGGUCGCGCCAGUUUCAUCACCGGCGGCAGCGUGCUACACGGUGAAGCAACACAUAUCGUCUCCUCCGCCUAUAUCUUUCCUCUCAAAGCAAUAAGCACAACCAACCGUUAAAGGAACUCACAUUAUGGAUCGGUCACGACGCACACAUCAAUCACCAAAUCAGAAGAGGUAAUCACCUUGAACAAGCUCAGCAAAACCCUAGGUCACGCAUUGAGUUAUGAAAUACGCACGUCUGAGAAUUUCCGGAAUGAUGAUUGUUUGUAUCCGGCGAGAAGCUUAAGGGGUGGUUAUGGUGCUGACGACGAACGAUCCAAACUCAGCGGAAGAAAACCGGAGCUUCAAUGCUAAUCCUGCUCUUAUACAGAGCUUGCAUAUUGGAAUUCGGUUCACGUAUCUGUAUGAGUUUCACGGAAUUGGAACAAGGUGGUGAAGGUGGAGAUUGAAGAGGAAGAGAAAUAAGGAUACGCAAGUGAGAGGGGAGAGGAAAAUUCUAGAAAAAGUCCCUGAAGCCACCACUUUCACUCCCUCUAUUGUGUCUUUAUAGCAUUGUGAAAUGCAGAAAUUGGAUGCGUUUUGAAUUGGUGUUGCUCCACAUUUCAAUUGCAACUCUGCGUUUUGCUUGUCGUCGCUUAUACCGUUAUUGCUGCGUUUUGUAAUGGAUGCUUGUGCGGGAUUUAUGUUUUGCACUGUCGUUUACUUGCGUUUAACUGCGUCACGUUUUGGAGUAGCAGCUUGCGUAUCGCCGUUUUGGACUGUUGAUUUGGCGUCGUUUUGAGUUGUUUUCGUAUAUGUAGCUUUGAUUCGCGUUAUUCUUGGUUGCGGUUGCGUUUUGGCUCAUUUUUCGUUUGCAGCUGAUGGUGACUUGUGCGUUUGGCUUUGCAGCUUUUGUGGCUUACACUUCCAUGCUGCCGUUUUGGCUCUGGCACUGCGUUUGCCACAACUUUUUGCAUCUAAUAGGGAUUAAAUGAUUUAUUAAAGUUGGACAUGGACAAUGGUUAAAUGAAUUGGUUAAUGAUAAAUUAGAUUUUUGGUUUGAA